CUGCCUCUAUUUUAGCAGGUUCGGGUUUCUGUUGCCCACUCCCUACCCGGUGCCCCAGAUACUGGACUUCCGCCAUACCGAUAUGGCAUUUGCUGGGUUUUAGGGUCAGUCCGGCCUCUCGGAUUCGGUCUAGAAUGGCUCCUAUGUGAACCAGAUGUUCGUGCCAGGAGUGGCUGAAUAUGGCGAUAUCGUCUAGAUACGCGCAGGCAUACUCCUGAAACCCAUCUAAUAGUCUGUCUACCAUUCUCUGGAAGGUAGCUGGAGCGUUUUUCAUCCCGAAUGGCAUAACCUUAAACUGAUACAGGCCAAACG
Non-coding RNA from Pelobates cultripes (western spadefoot toad), 312 nucleotides. Lineage: Eukaryota; Metazoa; Chordata; Amphibia; Anura; Pelobatidae. The record is from the annotation of a GenBank genome assembly.